UGGUACUCUCCAAUGCCAGCCCAUUGGGAUUUGAACCUUAGACAUCUUAUUUGGAUAUCCAAGUUCAAAUUGUUAGGGUCUCCCUUUGAAAUGAUAUCUAUUGAUGAGAAAUGUGUUUAUGCAAUAUGGUUGAAGUUAGAUUGCUAGGGUCUGCCAUAUUGUUGUUGUAUAGAAGUUGAGGAUUUUGUAGAAGCAGAGACAGAUGGGAGAAAUUAAGGUCUCAUUCUGUUUGCAUUGAUUUUUUGUGAUGCUUAGUUUCCUUAUUGUAUUCCUAUGACAUGAAAGAUUUCAGCUUUCUUUUUUUCUUCAUUUACAACAAUUAUGCAAACAAGUGUUUUUCUUAGUGGACCUUUGAGGUUCUCUCAGCAUACAACACAAAUCUGCAAAGCCAUAGACAGCUAGAGACACAUCCAAAUUAGUAGGGAGUUGCUGUUGUUGAUACUUCCUAUGCAAAUGUGAUUAUUGUUUGCUUUCUCAAUUUUGCUUUGACCUAAGUGGUCAUGGAUGAAUUGGAUAAUUGGAAACAAAAUAGAAGGCUUCUCUUUCAUUUCAAGUUUUUAUAAUGUCUCGAGUUACUUUUUGUAUCAUUUGAUUAUACUUAUACAUCUUUGAGUUGGAGAAAAAGUUGAGUACACUAUGAGUUGGAUGAGACAUAUAUUAAAUGAUUGUACACAUUGUUAGCAGUUACAAUUGUUUUUGAAAUGAUCAAUUAUUGAUGCAUGAAUCAGCCAAAGCCUAAAAUUGAUUACGUUUUGAAAGCUGUUGGUGGAAGCUUAACAGCCAUUCCUGGACUAUCAGAUAUGAUUGAUGACACUGUGCAUUCAAUUGUCACA
Molecule: unclassified non-coding RNA, 833 nt
Filed under: Hevea brasiliensis (rubber tree)
Lineage: Eukaryota; Viridiplantae; Streptophyta; Magnoliopsida; Malpighiales; Euphorbiaceae
Source: RNAcentral